CUCAGUUGAGCCCUAUCUCUCCUGCUUCUGAGUCAGUGGGGAGAUGCUGGAACGUGGCAGGGAGUCUGGUUAGGACCAUGGCUUGCUGCUGCCUUGGCAGGUGGCCUGCGCCUCUCGGGAACUGAGCCCUUCCUCACUUCCUGGGCUGCAGAGGGAUCUGCACACACAGGCGGAGAAUGAAUGAUAUCAGCCUCCCACCUCACGGUUUUAUUCCAGCCCCUGCUACUACCCCAGAUCCACAGAAACAUCCACGGGAAACAGAAGAAGAAAAAAAUGGAACAAUCUUGAUUCUAUUUUAAACCACAAAGUAGUAUUUCCAUAGCAGAAAGCAAAUAGAAUUUUACAUAAUGCACAGAAUGAAUGCCUCCGAAAAUCAAUAUUUCCAGCUGGAUGUACAAAUUAAAUGAUAAUAUUGAAGAGUGAGAUUAAAACAAUGAUUUAAGAUAG
Long non-coding RNA from Nannospalax galili (Upper Galilee mountains blind mole rat), 447 nucleotides. RefSeq lists it as uncharacterized. The transcript has 3 exons. NCBI's taxonomy places the organism in Eukaryota, Metazoa, Chordata, Mammalia, Rodentia, Spalacidae. The record is from RefSeq and is a predicted model, not a curated record.